RNAcentral lists this transfer RNA (363 nucleotides) under uncultured Microcystis sp. Its description in RNAcentral is "partial 16S-23S ribosomal RNA intergenic spacer". The stretch from base 135 to 208 matches the Rfam family "tRNA". Lineage: Bacteria; Bacillati; Cyanobacteriota; Cyanophyceae; Chroococcales; Microcystaceae. The record is from RNAcentral.
AAGGGAGACCUAAUUCAGGUAGGAGACGAAAAAAAAGUAGUCGCUACCAAGAAUCAAUCCCAAAAGGUCGGAGCGAGGCGAAAUUGGCUUUCAAACUAGGUUCUGGGUUCACACAAGACCUGAAUCAGGAACAAGGGCUAUUAGCUCAGGUGGUUAGAGCGCACCCCUGAUAAGGGUGAGGUCCCUGGUUCGAGUCCAGGAUGGCCCACCUGUACAGGUGGCAAAAAGGAAGAAAAGAAGCGAGGAAUCAGCACCUUAUCUUACUGACAUAGUAAGAGAGAAUGCUGGCUCUGAGUAAAGAGUCCAGAGGAACCUUGAAAACUGCAUAGAGCUAGGUGAAAAAGCCAAAAAAGAAGACCGCAA